Molecule: ribosomal RNA, 722 nt
Filed under: uncultured bacterium
Lineage: Bacteria
Description: bacterial SSU rRNA
Rfam family: Bacterial small subunit ribosomal RNA
Source: RNAcentral
UGCAGUCGAACGGCAGCACGGGAGUAAUCCUGGUGGCGAGUGGCGAACGGGUGAGUAAUAUAUCGGAACGUGCCCAGUCGUGGGGGAUAACGCAGCGAAAGCUGUGCUAAUACCGCAUACGAUCUCUGGAUGAAAGCGGGGGACCCGCAAGAGCCUCGCGCGAUUGGAGCGGCCGAUAUCAGAUUAGCUAGUUGGUGGGGUAAAGGCCCACCAAGGCGACGAUCUGUAGCUGGUCUGAGAGGACGACCAGCCACACUGGAACUGAGACACGGUCCAGACUCCUACGGGAGGCAGCAGUGGGGAAUUUUGGACAAUGGGCGCAAGCCUGAUCCAGCAAUGCCGCGUGCAGGAUGAAGGCCUUCGGGUUGUAAACUGCUUUUGUACGGAACGAAAAGGUCUGCCUUAAUACGGUGGGCCCAUGACGGUACCGUAAGAAUAAGCACCGGCUAACUACGUGCCAGCAGCCGCGGUAAUACGUAGGGUGCGAGCGUUAAUCGGAAUUACUGGGCGUAAAGCGUGCGCAGGCGGUUAUAUAAGACAGAUGUGAAAUCCCCGGGCUCAACCUGGGACCUGCAUUUGUGACUGUAUAGCUAGAGUACGGUAGAGGGGGGAUGGAAUUCCGCGUGUAGCAGUGAAAUGCGUAGAUAUGCGGAGGAACACCGAUGGCGAAAGGCAUCCCCUGGACCUGUACUGACGCUCAUGCACGAAAGCGUGGGGAGCAA